RNAcentral lists this long non-coding RNA (704 nucleotides) under Gallus gallus (chicken). Lineage: Eukaryota; Metazoa; Chordata; Aves; Galliformes; Phasianidae. The record is from RNAcentral.
UUAAAGAAGUCCCGCAGGAGUGGCAUACUCUAAGCUAUAUGUUAACUUGUUUCUUUGAGACUACAACUGUUCAGAAUUAUUACUUAGCUAAGUCUUGAUUUGUGUCCUUGAAUUCAUUGAAGUGGGGGAUGUACCUACCAAAAAAUGCUUCAAUAAGCCAGCUGAAAGAAAGCUCUGGUGAAGAGCAUGAGCUACAAUCCAGUCCCCAAGGCAUUUCACGCCACUUGGCCAUCUAAGAAAACAGCAAAGAAGGAAGCUGGAUAGCCGAUUGGCUGGAUAGCCAUGCUCAAUGGACAGAGGAGGAGUUGUUCGUGUCUGCAGUAUACAACCAGACUUCUGGUACUUUUCUAUGCUUUGCUCACAUAUCAUGCUUUGCUCCUUUGUUGCAAGAACUUUUUGUGAUACCUCCAGCUCCCAGGUCAUAUAUCCUCUCAAACUUCAUUUUAUACCAUAACCUCAAGAGAAAGGAGACAAAUUUAUUCUUUUCAAGGAGAAAGAACUCAUCAAAUAAAGUUCUGGACCACAAAUCGUAAAGAAAGUUUCAACAGUUGAACCUUAAAAGUUCAUUGAAACAAAGACAAAGUAGGUAAGCAGUAAAUAUAUAUGAGUGUAUGCGUGCAUAUAUAAAUAUAUAUAUAUAUAUAGGACCUAAAUACUUUUUAAAAUUUUUGAAUAUCUGUUGGCACUGCAGAGUGACUAUUGAC